Orcinus orca (killer whale) is the source of this 1559-nucleotide RNA transcript. It is a transcript of the gene named metabotropic glutamate receptor 7-like, with no coding region annotated. The record is from RefSeq and is a predicted model, not a curated record. The transcript is spliced from 4 exons. NCBI's taxonomy places the organism in Eukaryota, Metazoa, Chordata, Mammalia, Artiodactyla, Delphinidae.
CGCGCAUUUAAAGCGAUAGCCAUCCUCGCUCUCUCCCCAGUGCUGGGCUGUUGGAGAGCUCGAGCUGCAAGCCACCGAGCGCGAGCUCGAGCGCGGCGCGCUGGCCGGGGAACCCAAGAGCGCACGGCGCCCCAAGCUGGCAGGCGCUGCGGGACCCCCCACCCUCGCCGGCUGCCCUUCCCCGGGCGCCCCUACCCUCCUCGCCCGCAGAAGACCCUGGGCUUCCCCGGAGGAGCUCACCCCAAGGGGCCAGGACUCCGGAGAGCCCGCCACCGUCCCCUCGAGUGCCGCCGCCACCACCGCAGCCGCGGGAGCAGCAUGGUCCGCUGGGGAAGCUGCUCCGCGCCCUGACUUUGAUGAAGUUUCCCUGCUGCGUGCUGGAGGUGCUUCUGUGCGCGCUGGCGGCGGCGGCGGCGCGCAGCCAGGAGAUGUACGCCCCGCACUCCAUUCGCAUCGAGGGGGACGUCACCCUCGGGGGUCUGUUCCCGGUGCACGCGAAGGGUCCCAGCGGAGUGCCCUGCGGCGACAUCAAGAGGGAGAACGGGAUCCACAGGCUGGAAGCGAUGCUCUACGCCCUGGACCAGAUCAACAGCGAUCCCAACCUGCUGCCCAACGUGACGCUGGGAGCGCGGAUCCUGGACACUUGUUCCAGGGACACUUAUGCGCUCGAACAGUCGCUCACUUUCGUCCAGGCGCUCAUCCAGAAGGACACCUCCGAAGUGUGCUGCACCAACGGCGAGCCUCCGGUUUUCGUCAAGCCCGAGAAAGUAGUUGGAGUGAUUGGGGCUUCGGAGAGUUCGGUCUCCAUCAUGGUAGCCAACAUCCUGAGGCUUUUCCAGGUUGAUGGGCGCUACGGGAUAAGGAAAAGGAUGUGAAGCUCACUGAAGAGGCUUGGGUUGGGAGUGCUGGAGGAGUGUACAGGUGGGGAAAAUGUACCAGCGUGUAUGCCUACUGGGACCACGUUUUCCAGAACAGUUAAGCCCAGUGUCAACUAUGCUGUCCCACCUUCCUCAUGGAAAACAGUCGGGCGACCUCGGGUUGGCCAACUGCACCCCUCUCUUGGAUUUUGAAUUACAAAUAAAUGAUGUAAAGAAGCAAGGCCAGCAGUGCUGGGUCAACCUCCUGUUUCCUGUUCCUGCUUGGUAGCAAGGCCAGCUAGGACUUAUAACAUCACUUUGGCCUGAUCCUAUAAUUGCAAUAGCAUAGCCUUGGCUUUCGGUUGUUUCGUCUGCUUCUAGUUACUGAGGCCUAACCAUAAACUUCCAAAAGUUUCCUUUUCUGCUCAAAUUAGCCGUAUCUGGUUCCUGAUGAUUACAAAUAAGACCUUUCCUGAUAUACAAUGGUGACCUACUUAUCCAGGCAGACGUAACAUCGUCCUGGCAGGGACAGAGGGCAGGCAAGUUCCUUGAACAGCUGAACAAGAAGAAAAAGACCUAAGAAGGAAGAAUUGAAGCCAGUUCUGCUUGUGUUAUAAUUCUACCCGCAGCUGCCUCUGUUUCACAGACCACGUGCUAAGGACCAGACAAGCAAAGUAGACCCAGGGCUUCCAACCCAGAGAC